GUGCUUGCUGCAGCCGCACAUAUACUAAAAUUGGAAUGAUACAGAGAAACUUAGCAUGGCCCCUGCGCAAGGAUGACAUGCAAAUUUUCACAUGAAGCAUUCCAUAUUUUU
Molecule: small nuclear RNA, 111 nt
Organism: Perognathus longimembris pacificus (Pacific pocket mouse)
Lineage: Eukaryota; Metazoa; Chordata; Mammalia; Rodentia; Heteromyidae
Source: RefSeq, a predicted model, not a curated record